AUUACAAGCGUGAGCCACUGCGCCUGGCAAAGACCUCUUCUUCAUGGACCUUUGAUCCAAGGAAAAAGAAAGGCCAUAAACAAAACAGAAAUCAAGAAGAUGGAAAAGGAGCUGAACGGGGGAAAGCUGAGGUUUGCACAGAGCCAGUCCAGGGAGUGUGGUUCCGGAACGGGUGGAGCUUCUGGUGUAGUGGAUGUGGACUUUCUGGCCUGGAUCUCCUCUCUCCUCC
Molecule: long non-coding RNA, 229 nt
Organism: Pan troglodytes (chimpanzee)
Lineage: Eukaryota; Metazoa; Chordata; Mammalia; Primates; Hominidae
Exons: 3
Source: RefSeq, a predicted model, not a curated record